Molecule: long non-coding RNA, 641 nt
Filed under: Trifolium pratense (red clover)
Lineage: Eukaryota; Viridiplantae; Streptophyta; Magnoliopsida; Fabales; Fabaceae
Description: long non-coding RNA (TPRA_LNC012596)
Source: RNAcentral
AAUACUUGAUAUUUUAACUCAUCAUGUUAAUCCAAAGAUUUCAUUUUUAGAAGUAUCGUCUUUUGUUACUAUCUUGUUACAUGGCUAUACACCUUACUUAGUUAUCAGUUAAAGAAUCAAUAUGGUUAGUAAAUAUGAGUUAAAUGUCAAAACUAAAACAAAGAAAUGGACAACCAGUGACUCAUAUAUUUGAUCAUGUAGUACCAUGUUGUUAAAUUUUGGAAGAAAGAUGUUUAACUUUACAUAAGUUAAUUGGUUAAGCUAAAACUAGAAGGAAUGAAAAACUAGUGACAUAAUCAACAUUUGCAUAAGUAACCUGACUGUUUUAGAAGUUUAAACACAAGGAACGAAAGAACAUAAACUUAAAAGCUAUUGAAAAUAAGGUAGAGUAAUUAAAGGUUUUAAAAUGAAUGAAAGAUACUUGGUUUUCUAAUCACAAGACUUGAAUAAAAGUAAAACAAUGAAAUUUUCAUCUUUUAUUGUGUUACAUGAUCAUGGUGAAAAUUAGACAAAGGCUUUGUUACUACCUAACUAACUAAAACUAACUGACAAUAAAAGAAAACAUUGGUUUAUCUACUAAACUUUAACGAGAAAAAAAAAAGUAUAAGAAGAAUGAAAAGAAAGAAGAGAUUCAAACCUUA